AUAAAGGUAAUUGCUUGAUGCAGGAGCUUAUAAUUUAAAAUACAGAAGAUACAAUGUCAGGUUGACGUAUGAGAAUACAACUGAUAAAACUUAGCGUGAAUUUACUGGUUUUAAAAAUAGCGAUGCUGGUUGGAAUAAAUUAUUUUGAUUCGCUGUUAGUUUUAAAAAGUGGAGUUUGAAAGCGGCAUCCAGAAGGUAAAGGAAUAUAUUCAUUGUGAAGAAAGUGCUCGGAGUCGGAAGCAAUCUUGUAAGCUAGUUUUUUCCAACAUGCCACGUGCCUAAAAGAGUCAGAUUUUCCAAAGAGACUCCUGAUAAUUAAUUUGCUGCCUUGAUUGAUGAUUGUGGACAGUUUGUUUGUAUUUUGUACUGAAAGGGACCCCAAAUCUUUGUUUUUUAAUAUAAAACAAAAGUGAAAGAAUUGACAUUAAAAGAGUUGACCGUCGUAAAAAGUAGUCUUUGUUGGAUUUUUUUGUAGAUUUUGUCGGUGUUCGCAGUAAAACUGAGCUUUUCAUCAGUGAUGGUGCCGAGAUAUUGUAUUCUGGGACAACUUCGAUGCUGCAACUAUUAAUCAGAACAGGUCUAUACUUGCAGACUCUUGUCCACUCCAGACUCUCAAGCCGUGGAUCUCCUGGUGUUGGCGUCCAGUGUGCUCUCCUGGGAGCACUGGACUGGAUGUUGCUCCCCCGUUUGCUGUCUGUAAUAAAAAACACAUAACUUU
Molecule: long non-coding RNA, 718 nt
Organism: Haliotis rubra (blacklip abalone)
Lineage: Eukaryota; Metazoa; Mollusca; Gastropoda; Lepetellida; Haliotidae
Exons: 2
Source: RefSeq, a predicted model, not a curated record